RNAcentral lists this long non-coding RNA (269 nucleotides) under Elaeis guineensis (African oil palm). RNAcentral describes it as "long non-coding RNA (EGUI_LNC010318)". The record is from RNAcentral. Lineage: Eukaryota; Viridiplantae; Streptophyta; Magnoliopsida; Arecales; Arecaceae.
UCACUGCUAUCUUAAAAUGCUCAAUGUUACACUAUUACCUGCCAUAGAAGUUCAAAAGGUUUUUAUGAACAUUUAUUAUAAUAGUAACAUUGUAGUACGUUCUUCUGACAAUAUCAAUAAAUAAAAUUUAUGUUACAUACCUUGAAGACACUAAUGAUGUCGAGAAACUUCAGUCAGUCAUUAUAGUCUAAACUAUGCCAUUACAAUCAAACAUAUGAAUGGUCCUUCGAGUUUGUAAGUGUAAUAACUCAGAUAUUAAAAAAAAAAAA